UCGAAAGUCAUCAGCAGCAAGACAGACAUUGUCGAUCUGCAGAACCACGCAAGCAUUGUCCACAGUAUUUGCGAAGAUCUGAGCCCUCAGAUCCUUGAUGGUCUUGAAAUAAUGUCCCCAGUCUCUGACCUGGGGUCCCUUCUUCUCCAGAUGCUCCCGGAUUUUGCUCUCCAGCUUCUGGUUCUCUGUCUUCAGAUUCGGGGAAGCAGAGACCUACAAAGAAGUCUGCCUUCAAAGACCCUGGCCUGACUCCAUUUGAGAGAGGAAAUUGACCCACAUGUGGGAGGACUGUCCUGAGGCUCCUGUGAGGCCAGGCCAAGAAACUUUAAGAUGGCCAAGAAACCUUGAGAUGGCCAAGAACGCUUUCUCCUGUCAGCUAAGAUUGCCCUCAGAGUUCUGGUUUCCUGUCUGAGGACCUACAUCUUCUUUCAGCCAUUGGCUGGACAGAUGUGGUCUACCCACAGGGCUGUGGUCUCAGCCUUGCAAGCCUCUAUGGAAUAACCACAUUAGAACAUGAUGUGCGUAGGAAAAAUUAUCAAUGUAUAUAAUGGUGAUAAUAUAAUUUUGAAGUCCCUCAACUUGCUGGCUUCUUUUACAUGUUCUUAUACUUACCUUUCCCCCAAUCUUUAGAGGUUUCCAAUUGUCUCAGGGAGGUUUAGGAUUGUUACAGAGGGAAUGCAAAAAAAAAAAAAAGAGAGAGAGAGAGAAAAGAAAAAGAGGAAAACACAGUUAAUUAUCAACUUCUAAAUAGGAUCUGGGGGCUUUUUGGCCAGGUAGUAACUUAAAAGCUAGGCUUUGUAAGAGAGAGAAAAAAUGUUCUAGAUUCCUUGAUCUUGGAGGUUUUUGUUUGUUUGUUUGUUUUGUUUUGUUUUGUUUUUGAGAUGGAGUUUCACUCUUGUUGCCCAGGCUGGAGUGCAAUGGCACAAUCUUGGUUCACUGCAACCUCCGCCUCCCGGGUUCAAGUUAUUCUCCUGCCUCAGCCUCCUGAGUAGCUGAGAUUACAGGCGCACGCUACCACACCCAGCUAA
RNAcentral lists this long non-coding RNA (1028 nucleotides) under Macaca mulatta (Rhesus monkey). Its description in RNAcentral is "lncRNA (ENSMMUG00000057297.1)". The record is from RNAcentral. Lineage: Eukaryota; Metazoa; Chordata; Mammalia; Primates; Cercopithecidae.